This 497-nucleotide ribosomal RNA is filed under the name uncultured bacterium. RNAcentral's name for it is "partial 16S ribosomal RNA". It matches the Rfam family "Bacterial small subunit ribosomal RNA", at positions 28 to 507 of the family's 1533-position model. The record is from RNAcentral.
GAUGAACGCUGGCGGCGUGCCUAAUACAUGCAAGUCGAGCGAACGGACGAGAAGCUUGCUUCUCUGAUGUUAGCGGCGGACGGGUGAGUAACACGUGGAUAACCUACCUAUAAGACUGGGAUAACUUCGGGAAACCGGAGCUAAUACCGGAUAAUAUUUUGAACCGCAUGGUUCAAAAGUGAAGGACGGUCUUGCUGUCACUUAUAGAUGGAUCAGCGCUGCAUUAGCUAGUUGGUAAGGUAACGGCUUACCAAGGCAACGAUGCAUAGCCGACCUGAGAGGGUGAUCGGCCACACUGGAACUGAGACACGGUCCAGACUCCUACGGGAGGCAGCAGUAGGGAAUCUUCCGCAAUGGGCGAAAGCCUGACGGAGCAACGCCGCGUGAGUGAUGAAGGUCUUCGGAUCGUAAAACUCUGUUAUUAGGGAAGAACAUAUGUGUAAGUAACUGUGCACAUCUUGACGGUACCUAAUCAGAAAGCCACGGCUAACUACGUG